GACGAACGCUGGCGGCGUGCUUAACACAUGCAAGUCGAACGGAAAGGCCCUGCUUUUGUGGGGUGCUCGAGUGGCGAACGGGUGAGUAACACGUGAGUAACCUGCCCUUGACUUUGGGAUAACUUCAGGAAACUGGGGCUAAUACCGGAUAGGAGCUCCUGCUGCAUGGUGGGGGGUGGAAAGUUUCGGCGGUUGGGGAUGGACUCGCGGCUUAUCAGCUUGUUGGUGGGGUAGUGGCUUACCAAGGCUUUGACGGGUAGCCGGCCUGAGAGGGUGACCGGCCACAUUGGGCCUGAGAUACGGCCCAGACGCCUACGGGAGGCAGCAGUGGGGAAUAUUGCACAAUGGGCGGAAGCCUGAUGCAGCAACGCCGCGUGCGGGAUGACGGCCUUCGGGUUGUAAACCGCUUUCGCCUGUGACGAAGCGUGAGUGACGGUAAUGGGUAAAGAAGCACCGGCUAACUACGUG
This 468-nucleotide ribosomal RNA is filed under the name uncultured bacterium. RNAcentral's name for it is "partial 16S ribosomal RNA". It matches the Rfam family "Bacterial small subunit ribosomal RNA", at positions 28 to 507 of the family's 1533-position model. The record is from RNAcentral.